GUGGUUCCUUGGGCUGAAAUGGUGGCUUGGCCAUGCAAGCCAUAAAUUGAGACUCUUUCAAUGUGAUUGAAAGGUGGUUCCAUGGGCUGAAAUGGUGGCUUGGCCAUGCAAGCCAUGCAAGGCGAGGUGUCGAAGGCCUCGCUCACAUCAGAUAGGUCUGCAGAAGGCACCGUAUGCACCACAUGAUGAUGAGGUGCCAAAUGAUGGCGGGGUGCCGAAGGGAACGCGCCGAAUGAUGGAGGGAUGCCGAAUGAUGAAGCUUGUAGAACAAGCUCAAGUCCCCCUAUUUUUACUCUUCAAAGAGGUGUCGAACGACACUUUGAAUUGAGAUGUUGGUAUCGCUAUGCAAGCCGUGCAAAAUGAUAGCCACGUUCUGAUUGGCUUUUCCUUGAAAUAUCAUCUUCUGCAAUUUGUUGCCUUAGCAUUCAUUGUUGCUCCAGUAAGAUAUUGCCGAACGGCAACUUAGGUGAUGUUGAUUGUGUGGGUGCCGAGGGGCAUUGAAGAAGGGGAGAACCACAGAAGCCUUUUGUGUCGAUUCCCACAGACGGCGCCAAACUGUAGGCCCCUAUGAACAAAACAACAUAGCCCCAAGCUCUCACCUUGAACAAAUCUCGGGCCUACAGAAAUUUUUUAGCCACCCUUGCCGUUCGGCAGGGGUUGAACAGAACCUAGUGAAGGACCCGAUCCUCCCCUCCUUCGAACAAGCUUGAUCCCCUCCCGCUCCUUGCCGAAGACAGAUUUUCGCCAGCUCUCUUUUUGCCAAACAACAAUGUCGUUCACACGAGGGGCCUCCUCCAACUGCCGAAACUUUCUUCCAAAAGACUUACUGCACGGCAUGUUCUAAAAAAAAGAAGGAAAAACCCUAGCUUUUCUCUCCCAUUUUUGAACCCUUCCCAAAGGCCUAGCUAUGGCUUAAGUACUUCCAAGGCCCAGCUCCAGUAGCCAGCUCCAGGUACUUUCCAACUUACCCUCGCAGCCCAGCCCCCAUGCUAUUACUCAAGCCCAACUAUGGCUCAGCCAAACCCGUAUUAUUCAAGAGUCAAAACGGCUAGCCCCAGCCUGCCGAAGGUCUAGCUUCCUACCUUUCCAAAAAAAAAAAACAAAAAAAACAAAAAAAGGGGCUAGGACCUUGCCGAACGGCAAGGACCAUGGAAGGAGAAGAGAGCCCCCAAAUUUUUCAAAAGCCCCAGCCUGCCGAAGGUCUAGCUUCCGAGCUUUCAAAAAAAAAAAAAGAAAAAAAAAAGAAAAAAGAGGACUCACUCACCCAAUCCUUCCCUUGCCGAAGCUUAGCCCCUAAAACCCACGGACCCAAUACCCCAUCAUCCACCAUUCCACCUCUAUCUAAGUUGACCUCCCGAAAAGAGCAUCAACAUACACCAUUGUCAUUAUGUUUCAACAUCUUGUUAUUAAUCUAUAAGCCUAAUAUGUUUUUUUCCUUUAUAAAAUUAGUCUAACUUUUAAUCACUUACAAGUCAUC
Molecule: long non-coding RNA, 1477 nt
Filed under: Prunus dulcis (almond)
Lineage: Eukaryota; Viridiplantae; Streptophyta; Magnoliopsida; Rosales; Rosaceae
Description: sRNA ncRNA
Source: RNAcentral